This 497-nucleotide ribosomal RNA is filed under the name uncultured bacterium. RNAcentral's name for it is "partial 16S ribosomal RNA". It matches the Rfam family "Bacterial small subunit ribosomal RNA", at positions 29 to 507 of the family's 1533-position model. The record is from RNAcentral.
UAUGAACGCUGGCGGCGUGCCUAAUACAUGCAAGUCGAGCGAACAGAUAAGGAGCUUGCUCCUUUGACGUUAGCGGCGGACGGGUGAGUAACACGUGGGUAACCUACCUAUAAGACUGGGAUAACUUCGGGAAACCGGAGCUAAUACCGGAUAAUAUUUCGAACCGCAUGGUUCGAUAGUGAAAGAUGGUUUUGCUAUCACUUAUAGAUGGACCCGCGCCGUAUUAGCUAGUUGGUAAGGUAACGGCUUACCAAGGCGACGAUACGUAGCCGACCUGAGAGGGUGAUCGGCCACACUGGAACUGAGACACGGUCCAGACUCCUACGGGAGGCAGCAGUAGGGAAUCUUCCGCAAUGGGCGAAAGCCUGACGGAGCAACGCCGCGUGAGUGAUGAAGGUCUUCGGAUCGUAAAACUCUGUUAUUAGGGAAGAACAUACGUGUAAGUAACUGUGCACGUCUUGACGGUACCUAAUCAGAAAGCCACGGCUAACUACGUG